UGAGGAACCUGCCUCAAAGAGGGGGACAACAGUUGGAAACGACUGCUAAUACCGCAUAAGCCCACGGGUCGGCAUCGACCAGAGGGAAAAGGAGCAAUCCGCUUUGAGAUGGCCUCGCGUCCGAUUAGCUAGUUGGUGAGGUAACGGCCCACCAAGGCGACGAUCGGUAGCCGGACUGAGAGGUUGAACGGCCACAUUGGGACUGAGACACGGCCCAGACUCCUACGGGAGGCAGCAAGUGGGGAAUAUUUGCACAAUGGGGGGAAACCCUGAUGCAGCGACGCCCGCGUGGAGGAAAGAAAGGGUCUUCGGAUUGUAAACUCCUGUUGUUGGGGAAGAUAAUGACGGUACCCCAACAAGGAAGUGACGGCUAACUACGUGCCAGCAGCCGCGGUAAAACGUAGGUCACAAGCGUUGUCCGGAAUUACUGGGUGUAAAGGGAGCGCAGGCGGGAAGACAAGUUGGAAGUGAAAUCUAUGGGCUCAACCCAUAAACUGCUUUCAAAACUGUUUUUCUUGAGUAGUGCAGAGGUAGGCGGAAUUCCCGGUGUAGCGGUGGAAUGCGUAGAUAUCGGGAGGAACACCAGUGGCGAAGGCGGCCUACUGGGCACCAACUGACGCUGAGGCUCGAAAGUGUGGGUAGCAAACAGGAUUAGAUACCCUGGUAGUCCACCCCGUAAACGAUGAUUACUAGGUGUUG
RNAcentral lists this ribosomal RNA (699 nucleotides) under uncultured bacterium. RNAcentral describes it as "bacterial SSU rRNA". It matches the Rfam family "Bacterial small subunit ribosomal RNA", at positions 118 to 825 of the family's 1533-position model. The record is from RNAcentral.